Long non-coding RNA from Brassica napus (rape), 664 nucleotides. RefSeq lists it as uncharacterized. The record is from RefSeq and is a predicted model, not a curated record. NCBI's taxonomy places the organism in Eukaryota, Viridiplantae, Streptophyta, Magnoliopsida, Brassicales, Brassicaceae. The transcript has 2 exons.
AUUCAUAUGAAGUUAUCUGAUUUGAAUAUUCAAAACUUUAACAGAUUAGAUAGAAGCUUGGGGGAGAUAUCGAAUCUCCUAUACAUUUGUACUUAUACGCAAUUUGUGAGAUAACGGACAAAAGUGAGAGCAGGAUGAUUUUGGAAUCGCAUAGACCAUGUGCAUCGGCCUCUUUUUGUGAAGACUAGUCUUUAUCAAUCAAUCAAUCAUAUUGAUAAUCAAGAGAUGAUAAAAAAAUGUCCACGCAAACGAAUAAGGAGAUACAGGUUCGAUUGAAUAUUGAUGGUUGUAAUUAAUAAUUAAUGAGCCACUAAUCCCUUCCAAAUCUAUAGAUUUUUUCAAGAUAAGGUGAUACAGGUUCGUUUGAACUUCUUGAUUCAAGUACUGUAUCUUCCUCUCUACUCUGUUGUCUCAAAUCAUUUUCCAGUCCUUCACGAUGAUUCUAAAACAGCAUGUGACAAUGGGGGGAGAUCAUACAAAGGAUAUUUUCGGAGGCUCUUUGGCUGACAAAGCUGGUACAGACCUAUGUUAAUCAAGGAUCACUUCGAGGAGACGUGCAAAGCUAUUAUGCCUAGACUAUGAGGUACAACAUAUUGUGUAAAAAAAAAACAUUCUAUUGUGUACGAGACUUGUUAGUUUUGCUUCUUGAUUAUGUCAUUAAUUC